Molecule: ribosomal RNA, 1475 nt
Filed under: Leuconostoc mesenteroides
Lineage: Bacteria; Bacillati; Bacillota; Bacilli; Lactobacillales; Lactobacillaceae
Description: bacterial SSU rRNA
Rfam family: Bacterial small subunit ribosomal RNA
Source: RNAcentral
UUUGGGAGGGGGNGCCUAUACAUGCAAGUCGAACGCACAGCGAAAGGUGCUUGCACCUUUCAAGUGAGUGGCGAACGGGUGAGUAACACGUGGACAACCUGCCUCAAGGCUGGGGAUAACAUUUGGAAACAGAUGCUAAUACCGAAUAAAACUUAGUGUCGCAUGACAAAAAGUUAAAAGGCGCUUCGGCGUCACCUAGAGAUGGAUCCGCGGUGCAUUAGUUAGUUGGUGGGGUAAAGGCCUACCAAGACAAUGAUGCAUAGCCGAGUUGAGAGACUGAUCGGCCACAUUGGGACUGAGACACGGCCCAAACUCCUACGGGAGGCUGCAGUAGGGAAUCUUCCACAAUGGGCGAAAGCCUGAUGGAGCAACGCCGCGUGUGUGAUGAAGGCUUUCGGGUCGUAAAGCACUGUUGUAUGGGAAGAACAGCUAGAAUAGGAAAUGAUUUUAGUUUGACGGUNACCNAUACCAGAAAGGGACGGCUAAANNUACGUGCCAGNCAGCCGCGGUAAUACGUAUGUCCCGAGCGUUAUCCGGAUGCUCCNCUUUGGNGUGCANNGGUCCCNGCCAAUUCCUUUAAAUUUCAACUUUGAAGUCGUCCUCCUCAGGCGCAGUAGUNGCAUGCGAUACUNGCUAGCANUGAGGGCACGAAAGCCCCGUGACACUUCACUUUUAUCGUUUGAAGGCGUNAGCUACCUGGGAGAUCUACUCGUGAUGAAUCCGGCUUACUGUCGCUNCAUCAGAUGCAGAGACAGNACAGUGAGGGUCGCACACAGGAGGUGAUCCUCUGGUAGUCCACACCGUUAACGAUGAACACUAGGAGUUAGGAGGUUUCCGCCUCUUAGUGCCGAAGCUAACGCACUAAGUGUUCCCCCUGGGGAGUACGACCGCAAGGUUGAAACUCAAAGGAAUUGACGGGGANCCCGCACAAGCGGUGGAGCAUGUGGUUUAAUUCGAAGCAACGCGAAGAACCUUACCAGGUCUUGACAUCCUUUGAAGCUUUUAGAGAUAGAAGUGUUCUCUUCGGAGACAAAGUGACAGGUGGUGCAUGGUCGUCGUCAGCUCGUGUCGUGAGAUGUUGGGUUAAGUCCCGCAACGAGCGCAACCCUUAUUGUUAGUUGCCAGCAUUCAGAUGGGCACUCUAGCGAGACUGCCGGUGACAAACCGGAGGAAGGCGGGGACGACGUCAGAUCAUCAUGCCCCUUAUGACCUGGGCUACACACGUGCUACAAUGGCGUAUACAACGAGUUGCCAACCCGCGAGGGUGAGCUAAUCUCUUAAAGUACGUCUCAGUUCGGAUUGUAGUCUGCAACUCGACUACAUGAAGUCGGAAUCGCUAGUAAUCGCGGAUCAGCACGCCGCGGUGAAUACGUUCCCGGGUCUUGUACACACCGCCCGUCACACCAUGGGAGUUUGUAAUGCCCAAAGCCGGUACCUAACCUCUAGGAAGGAGCCUUUUUAGGCGGUCAACGGUU